RNAcentral lists this long non-coding RNA (321 nucleotides) under Homo sapiens (human). RNAcentral describes it as "HSALNT0198338". Lineage: Eukaryota; Metazoa; Chordata; Mammalia; Primates; Hominidae. The record is from RNAcentral.
CCCCAAUUCUUGUUGCAACACAGUGCAGUGGAGCUGAGGGCCCCACACAGAUGCGGCAGCAGCAGUGCUGAGUUCCAGGCCUGCCACAUAGAUGGUCCUGGACCUAAAGCCCGAGGAGGUUAGACCACAAGAAGGCAGACAGCCUGCACAACACCACCAAUUGGGAAGUAAGGCUUCACAUGGAUGCAAAUACCCAAAACAUGCUUGGGCUGAAUCAUACAGCAAGGGACAAAUGUUAGUGAGGAUGAAAUGUUGUCACCGUCAGCCCAAGGGUGGGAACGUAGCCAGUGGCUAAAAGACAGAAACAUGAGCUUUGUCUGG